CCCAUAUUGAUCAGGUCACACCUCACCACCCAUAUUGAUCAGGUCACAUCUCACCCCUCCAUAUUGAUCAGGUCACACCUCACCAUCCAUACUGGUCCAGUCACACCUCACCACCCAUAUUAAUCAGGUCACACUUUACCACCCAUAUUAAUCAGGAUACACCUCACCAACCUUAUUGAUCAGGUCACACCUCACCACCCAUAUUGAUCAGGUCACAUCUCACCCCUCCAUAUUGAUCAUGUCACACGUCCCCACCCAUAUUGAUCAGGUCACACCUAACCACCCAUAUUGAUCAGGUCACAUCUCACCCCUCCAUAUUAAUCAGGUCACACCACACCACCCAUAUUGAUCAGGUCACACCUCACCAUCCACGAUGGUCCACUCACACCAAACCACCCAUAUUAAUAAGGGCACACCUCACCACCCACAUUAAUCAG
Long non-coding RNA from Oncorhynchus tshawytscha (Chinook salmon), 437 nucleotides. NCBI's taxonomy places the organism in Eukaryota, Metazoa, Chordata, Actinopteri, Salmoniformes, Salmonidae. The record is from Ensembl.